Molecule: non-coding RNA, 95 nt
Organism: Quaeritorhiza haematococci
Lineage: Eukaryota; Fungi; Chytridiomycota; Chytridiomycetes; Quaeritorhizaceae
Source: the annotation of a GenBank genome assembly
CCGGCCUUAGCUCAGUUGGUAGUAGCGGCAGACUGUAGAGUUGGACAAACAACACCGACAUCUGUAGGUCCCUGGUUCGACUCCGGGAGGCCGGA